GAAAUGCGAUAAGUAAUGUGAAUUGCAGAAUUCAGUGAAUCAUCGAAUCUUUGAACGCACCUUGCGCCCUUUGGUAUUCCGAAGGGCACGCCUGUUUGAGUGUCGUGAAAUUCUCAACCCUGCGCUUUUCUUGUGAAAGCGCGUGGGCUUGGACUUGGAGGCUUUGCUGGUCCUCGCGAAUCGGCUCCUCUCAAAUGCAUUAGCGAGACCCUUGUGGUGCCGCCCCCGGUGUGAUAAUUGUCUACGCCGUGGGUACACCGCGAUUGUGGGGGACCUGCUUCCAACCGUCGAAAGACAACUUCAUCGAAACUUGACCUCAAAUCAGGCGGGACUACCCGCUGAACUUAA
Molecule: unclassified non-coding RNA, 348 nt
Filed under: uncultured Heterobasidion
Lineage: Eukaryota; Fungi; Basidiomycota; Agaricomycetes; Russulales; Bondarzewiaceae
Description: sequence contains ITS1
Rfam family: 5.8S ribosomal RNA (bases 1-105)
Source: RNAcentral